GCUUACGGCCACACCGCCUGGUUCACACCUGAUCUCGGAAGCUAAGAUAGGUUGGGCCUGGUUAGCACUUGGAUGGGAGACCGCCUGGGAAUACCAGGUGCUGCAAGCU
Ribosomal RNA from Scophthalmus maximus (turbot), 109 nucleotides. The record is from Ensembl. Lineage: Eukaryota; Metazoa; Chordata; Actinopteri; Pleuronectiformes; Scophthalmidae.